RNAcentral lists this ribosomal RNA (1393 nucleotides) under bacterium JP58. RNAcentral's name for it is "bacterial SSU rRNA". It matches the Rfam family "Bacterial small subunit ribosomal RNA". The record is from RNAcentral.
GGGGCUAACAUGCAGUCGACGGUGAGCGGAGCUUGCUCUGUGGAUCAGUGGCGAACGGGUGAGUAACACGUGAGCAACCUGCCCCUGACUCUGGGAUAAGCGCUGGAAACGGCGUCUAAUACUGGAUAUGAGCUGCGACCGCAUGGUCAGCAGUUGGAAAGAUUUUUCGGUCUGGGAUGGGCUCACGGCCUAUCAGCUUGUUGGUGAGGUAAUGGCUCACCAAGGCGUCGACGGGUAGCCGGCCUGAGAGGGUGACCGGCCACACUGGGACUGAGACACGGCCCAGACUCCUACGGGAGGCAGCAGUGGGGAAUAUUGCACAAUGGGCGAAAGCCUGAUGCAGCAACGCCGCGUGAGGGAUGACGGCCUUCGGGUUGUAAACCUCUUUUAGCAGGGAAGAAGCGAAAGUGACGGUACCUGCAGAAAAAGCGCCGGCUAACUACGUGCCAGCAGCCGCGGUAAUACGUAGGGCGCAAGCGUUAUCCGGAAUUAUUGGGCGUAAAGAGCUCGUAGGCGGUUUGUCGCGUCUGCUGUGAAAUCCCGAGGCUCAACCUCGGGUCUGCAGUGGGUACGGGCAGACUAGAGUGCGGUAGGGGAGAUUGGAAUUCCUGGUGUAGCGGUGGAAUGCGCAGAUAUCAGGAGGAACACCGAUGGCGAAGGCAGAUCUCUGGGCCGUUACUGACGCUGAGGAGCGAAAGGGUGGGGAGCAAACAGGCUUAGAUACCCUGGUAGUCCACCCCGUAAACGUUGGGAACUAGUUGUGGGGUCCAUUCCACGGAUUCCGUGACGCAGCUAACGCAUUAAGUUCCCCGCCUGGGGAGUACGGCCGCAAGGCUAAAACUCAAAGGAAUUGACGGGGACCCGCACAAGCGGCGGAGCAUGCGGAUUAAUUCGAUGCAACGCGAAGAACCUUACCAAGGCUUGACAUAUACGAGAACGGGCCAGAAAUGGUCAACUCUUUGGACACUCGUAAACAGNGUGGUGCAUGGUUGUCGUCAGCUCGUGUCGUGAGAUGUUGGGUUAAGUCCCGCAACGAGCGCAACCCUCGUUCUAUGUUGCCAGCACGUAAUGGUGGGAACUCAUGGGAUACUGCCGGGGUCAACUCGGAGGAAGGUGGGGAUGACGUCAAAUCAUCAUGCCCCUUAUGUCUUGGGCUUCACGCAUGCUACAAUGGCCGGUACAAAGGGCUGCAAUACCGUGAGGUGGAGCGAAUCCCAAAAAGCCGGUCCCAGUUCGGAUUGAGGUCUGCAACUCGACCUCAUGAAGUCGGAGUCGCUAGUAAUCGCAGAUCAGCAACGCUGCGGUGAAUACGUUCCCGGGUCUUGUACACACCGCCCGUCAAGUCAUGAAAGUCGGUAACACCUGAAGCCGGUGGCCCAACCCUGUGAGGACC